Molecule: non-coding RNA, 256 nt
Organism: Python bivittatus (Burmese python)
Lineage: Eukaryota; Metazoa; Chordata; Lepidosauria; Squamata; Pythonidae
Source: RefSeq, a predicted model, not a curated record
UGUUGUUUCAAUCUUACAUGCAAAUAAGGAACGAAGAAGUGGGAACUCAUGUGCAACUUCAGUGUCAUGCAAAACCUGUUCAUCCUGAAGCAGUAGCAGAAGAUGUCUAACUUAAAAGCAGGAGAAACCUGAUGACAGCUUGCAAGUGGAAUGAUAAUGGCUACGUUUGUAAUGACACACUUGCUGGGGCUCUGUCUUUUUUGCUUUCACCUUACAAGUCAAGACAGCUGUAAUGCCCCAGGUAAUCUUACUGCAC